GUACACACCGCCCGUCAAGCCACGAAAGCGGGGGGCAUCCGAAGUCGCCGAGCGAACCGCAAGGACGCAGGUGCCUAAGAUGAACUCCGUGAUUGGGACUAAGUCGUAACAAGGUAGCCGUAGGUGAACCUGCAGAAGGAUCA
This 143-nucleotide ribosomal RNA is filed under the name uncultured eukaryote. RNAcentral's name for it is "partial small subunit ribosomal RNA". It matches the Rfam family "Bacterial small subunit ribosomal RNA", at positions 1383 to 1525 of the family's 1533-position model. The record is from RNAcentral.